UGAGACUUCAAAGAAACAACUCUUCAA
RNAcentral lists this non-coding RNA (27 nucleotides) under Rattus norvegicus (Norway rat). Lineage: Eukaryota; Metazoa; Chordata; Mammalia; Rodentia; Muridae. The record is from RNAcentral.